Molecule: long non-coding RNA, 474 nt
Organism: Lycium ferocissimum
Lineage: Eukaryota; Viridiplantae; Streptophyta; Magnoliopsida; Solanales; Solanaceae
Exons: 2
Source: RefSeq, a predicted model, not a curated record
UUAGUGUCCUACCUUUGAAUGAACUUUGCACACAUUUUUUCUUAUAAACUACCUUUUAGUGGAUUUUAAGUGUUACCGGGCCUAGUGUGCUAAAUGCUUAAAUUCUUUGAUUCUGUGUUUAGUGCCUCCAGAUAACAACAUGUAUUUAUAAUGCAAUUUUAAGUGGUUUUGUUUUUUCCAGGAUGUCCAAUUAGUAUCAAUCAUGUUUCCAGGUGGUCAAGUUGGGAAGCUUUACAGAAAUUCAGAAGACAAUCCUGAUAUUGUAUUUGUGUUAGCACAAGUGAAAUUUCUUUUGUAACAAAUUCUUAGCUGCAAUUAUCAGGGGAUCAGCUUAUCAAAGUGAACACAAACAACCUGGCUCUUUUUUUUUUUUUUUUUAAUCUUUCUCAUUAGCAAGCUAAAGAAUGUAAUUAUGCAUCUUUGUUCCACAAAUGAAUGAAAAUAGUAUGAAUCAUAUUAUAAUUAUAUUUACUC